This 4890-nucleotide long non-coding RNA is filed under the name Nicotiana tabacum (common tobacco). RNAcentral describes it as "long non-coding RNA (NTAB_LNC000939)". The record is from RNAcentral. Lineage: Eukaryota; Viridiplantae; Streptophyta; Magnoliopsida; Solanales; Solanaceae.
UUUUUUUUUUUUGUAGGUUUGGAGAGAGCUUCACAGUUUUUCCUUUUUUUCUUUUUUUAAAUUAAAGGUUUCAUUUUAUUUUUUUGGGGAAAAUGGCACAUGUGAAAUUUGUUGAUUUGUUAGUUUAUUAGGAAUUUCUAUUUUUGUAUUAAAUUUAAUUUUUAAGGUUUAGCCAUGAGUCUAAUAAUAAUUAUUUUUCGAUUUGUUAGUUUAUUAGGAAUUUGUUUUUUAUUAUUUUUAAUUUUUAGGUUUAGCCACGUGUGUACUAAUAAAUAAUUUUUUGAUUAUAUCCGAGAGAGGUAUUUCAACCAAGGUAGGCUGUGUUUAGUUGACUUACUUUAUUAAAGGCUUGGAAUGUCUAACUGACAAACAACAAUAACUAUCCAGUAUAAUCCCACCAAGUGGGGUCUGGGGAGGGUAGGAUGUACAUAGGCUUACCCCUACCAGGGUAGGGAGACUGUUUCCGAAUAACCCUCGGCUAAAGCAGGUGAAGGAAUCCCUGAUAGCAAGUGAUAGCAAGACAAAUAGUUAGAAAACUAAACCGGAGAUAACAACAAAGAAUAACAAGAUAGUACCGAUAACAAGUAAUAUCAAGAUAGUAUAUUUAGACAGAUAAGUCCAAGGCAACACACGAGAAUAUGACGAAGUCCUGCUAGAAAAUUACGGAAUUACCGAAGGUAAGUAGUAACAGAACAAGAAACACGGCUAUACUAUGGAAAAAGGAUACUAUACUAGCAGUAAUGCUAUCGAAUUAGGGAAGACAAAGGGAAACGCCCGACUAUAUUCUAACCUUCCACCAUAAUCUUCUACCUCCACACCCUUCUAUCUAGGGUUAUUUCCUCGGUCAGCUCAAGCUGCACCAUGUCCUACCUGAUCACUUCACCCCAAGGAUUCUUAGAUCUACCUCUACCCCUCCUCUCACCUCCCAAGGCCAACCUCUCAUAUCUCCUGACUGGGGCAUCUGUGCUUCUCCCUUAACAUGCCCAAACCAUUUCAACCUUGCCUCACGCAUCUUUGCCUCCACAGGGGCCACUCCCACCUUGUCCCGAAUAACUUCAUUCCUAAUUCUAUACAAUCUAGUGUGUCCAUACAUCCAUCUCAACAUUCUCAUUUCUGCUACUCUCAUAUGCUGGACAUGUGACUUGUGGAAUGUCUAACUGCAAAUGAGUUUAAUCGAGAUGUCUGCUUAGUUGUUGAGGACAAUUUAAAGUGACCGCUUUAUGUAUUUUGCCUAAAAUAAAAUAAGAAAUAACCUCUAGCACAUGAAGUUGUCUAUACUUUCUAACGACCUAGUUUAGAUGACUAAACAUUUGCAAAAUCAUGAAAAUUGUAGGUUGGUGUAACAGUAUAGAUGUGGCUCUACGCCAUCGGAUUCACGAGCUUGUAAAAGUUCCAUAACGUAAGGUUACUCCCUCAGAUUUGUACCUCCUAAAAAUUAUCUGGAUUUUUGAAACUAUACAUUAAAAUUGUCCAGUAACGUUUUCUGAGCCAUACUACUAAAGUCUAGUAGAGGGUAGUGAAGAUAAAGGUGAGAAAGAGUGUGCCUAUUUUUUAGAACCAGUUUGAAUUCAUGUCGCGCGAUCGAUUGCAGAAGCCACCUUGUCAGGAGACUGGUGGCGCAGUAUAGGGAGAGAAAGAAAGACUUGAAUAUGGUGUACAUUGGCUUAGAAAAAGUAUACAAUAAAGUCUCAAAAGAGGUUCCAUGGAAAUGUUUGGAGGCUAGAGGUAUACAUGUAGAAUAUACUAGGGAGAUUAGGGACAUGCACGAGGGAGCCAAAACCAGGGUAAGGAUUAUGGGAGGAAACUAGGGGACACUUUUCAGUCAUGAUGGAGUUGCACCAGGGAUCAGCUCUUAGCCCAUUUUUAUUUGUCUUGAUGGUGGAUGUACUGACGAAUCACAUUCAAGGGGGUGUCAUGAUGGAUAUUAUUUGCAGAUGACAUAGUACUGAUACGCGAGCCAGUAUUAACAUUAGGCUGGAGAUUUAGAGACAUACCGUGGACCCGAAAGGCUUCAGGUUGAGCAGCAUUGAGACAAAGUACUUGGAGUGCAUAUUCAGUGACGUACGGCUUGCGUGGAAGUGAGGAUUCAUUCAUAAGUUAUCCCAUGAGAGAAAGUUUUAAGUAUCUUGGACCGAUAAUCCGAGGAAACGGGGAGAUCAACAAUGAAAUCACAUCGUAUUGGAACGGGUGGAUGAAAUAGAAGCUAGCAUCUGGUGUCUUGUGUGAUAAGAACGUGCCGUCAAAAUUUAAAGGUAAGUUAUACAGAAUGGUUGUUAGACCAACUAUGUUGUAUGGAGUAGAGUGUUGGUCAGUCAAGAAUUCUUUAUGUCCAGAAGAUGCAAAGAGCAAAAAUGAGGAUGCUGAGAUGGAUGUGCAGGCAUGCUACGAGAGAUAAGAUUUGGAAUGAAGAUAUUUCGAGACAAGGUGGAGCCUCCUAGUGGACAAGAUGCAAGAAGCAAGUUUAAGAUGGUUUGAGCAUAUGAAGAGGGGAUGUCCAGAUGCCUCAGUAAGAAGAUGUGAGAGGUUGGACAUAGUGUGUUUGAGAAGAGGUAGACGUGGGCCUAAGAAGUAUUAGGGAGAGAUAAUUAGGCAUGACAUAGCACAACUGCGACUUACCGAAGAAAUGACCCCUACUAGGAGAGUGUGGAGGUCGAGAAUUAAGGUAGAAUGCUAGUAGGUAGUCGAGCAUCUAUCUAAUGCAUACCUGAUGUAUCUGUAUUAUUCGUGUAUUUUCUUUUCCUUAGAUUUUGAUACUACCGGUUGUUUAUUGUGCUUUGAUUAUCUCAUUAUCUUGUUUUAUUCCUGCUUUUUCUCAUGAUUUCUCCACUACCGUAUUUAUUUUUAUAACUGUUGCGAUUAUGUUUGUCAUCAGCCGAGGGAGGGUCUAUCGAGAACAGUCUCUCUAUCUAUACAAGGUAGGGGUAAGAUCUGCAUACACACUGCCCUCUCCAACUCUAUUUGAGGAAUUACACUAAGCUUGUUAUUGUUGUUGUGGUAAUAAUAUUUGCUUAAUGAUAAUUGUAAGAAAGAAAAAAAUGUCAAUUUCCAACCCUUUUUCUUUUUUAUUUUUCUUCCACUUUGAGGAGCAGGGAACACACCAUGCACGUUUUGCUUUGGGGAAAUUAAGGGCCUGAAGAAUUGGACUCCCUAUACUAAAAGUCUCUAGUUUAUGAUCCUCACUUUGUUUAAAUAGAUAUGGAAUAUGCCACUGUAGAGGCACACAAUUAAAUAAUGAGCCACAUCCACUCGCAAUUAAAGAUGUAAGAAACACCAGAAAGAAGAAAAAAGAAAAAGAGGAUGCGACUCCUCAUUCUGCUUGCAUUUUCUAUAGAAAAUUGACAAUCACAAAGAUCUCAACCCCUCCUUUUUCUCUGCGCGAAAUCAUAAUAACACAAAUAAUUCAAUAUUUUUGAAAACUUAUAACUUAUAAAUUUAUUAUAAUUGCGUUCUGAGUUCUUAAAGUCAAAUUGAAAAUUACAUUCGGGAGAUUUGAAGUUCUGCAAGCCAAGCCAAGGGCGUGCGGUUCUAACAUCCCCUUUUGUAAAGUCUAUUAUCUUUUGUUGUUUUCUUCAGAUAAACAUUCCUCCAAGAUUAAAUUACAUAUCGUUCCAUUAUAGGAAAACGAUGCAUCAAAUUUUGGUUUUAUCGUGUUGCAAUAUAAUUCCUCGAUGAUUGUAUAGCUGUAUAGCCAAAAUCAUUUGGCACAAAGGCAAAUUGGCCAUUUUAAACUAGGUUAAACCAAUCAUCAAUUACCUCAUGGAAAUACAAUUGAAAAUCCCUCCAAUUGACCAGGAGGUUUGUCCCGACUAAGACAAAAGGCCAUAUUUAAUAAAUAUAUAUUGAAUUCGUGGAAAGAAACAAAUAUAUUACAAAGUGUAGAUUCAUCAUCCAAGGGUAAUCUGCAUCGACGUUUUUAGCCUCAAACAUUUGCUGAAAACGCCUAGAAGAUUAUGUCAAUAUGCGUUUCAGAAUUUCUGUAUCCACACAAAAUAGCAGUGAUUUCCUCAAACUGACACUAAAAUAGAAACUUUCUCAUUCAAUAAAUAUUAACAUAAAGUGUUUUAAGAAAUAAAAAGAACCACAAAAGAGCGAAUCCAGAUAAAGAAGAAAAUGAGAGAAGACAAGGAAAAAAACAACACAAUCACUCUCCUCAAACUACAACCAACCUAGAAGAGAAAAGACUUGGAGCUGGGGAUGGUGAUGGUGCCAGGCCAAAAAGGACACUGCAGGCGGCACCUCACAAAUAUGCUGAGAAGAUAACCCAAAUUGAGUUGAAACAUGAGAUACACUGGCAAUAAUUGUUUGUUGCCCUCCAUUCAUAGCCCCACCACCUCCAAACUUAUCCAUCCCAGCAAAACCAAAUUUACUGGGGACAUACUAGCAAAAGCGGGAAAACAAAGAGGAAACUUGCACUUUAAGUAAAAUAACAACACCUUAAAAGCACUUCCUGUGGACAAUGGAAGGACCAGACUCAUCAUACUCACCCUUUGAGAUCCACAUCUGAUUAAGCACAAAGACAACAAAAAAUCAGUCUAACUAGAAUGUAUUUGAAAUGGAGAAUAUUAAUCCCACAAGAAUAAAAGCUCACCUGCUGGAAUGUGCUGAGGGAUGCAAGAAUGGAUCCUCCAAUCCAGACACUGUACUUUCUCUCUGGUGGCGCAACAACCUUAAUCUUCAUGCUGCUUGGAGCUAAAGCAGUGAUUUCCUUGCUCAUCCGAUCAGCAAUACCAGGGAACAUGGUGGAGCCACCACUGAGAACAAUGUUACCAUAGAGGUCCUUCCUAAUAUCCACAUCACAUUUCAUGAUGGAGUUGUAGGUAGUCUCAUGGAUACCUGCAGCUUCCAUCCCGAUCAUCGAUGGUUGGAAGAGAACUUCCGGGCAACGGAACC